Molecule: ribosomal RNA, 425 nt
Filed under: uncultured bacterium
Lineage: Bacteria
Description: bacterial SSU rRNA
Rfam family: Bacterial small subunit ribosomal RNA
Source: RNAcentral
GUGGGGAAUCUUAGACAAUGGGGGAAACCCUGAUCUAGCCAUGCCGCGUGAUCGAUGAAGGCCUUAGGGUUGUAAAGAUCUUUCAGGUGGGAAGAUAAUGACUGUACCACCAGAAGAAGCCCCGGCUAACUCCGUGCCAGCAGCCGCGGUAAUACGGAGGGGGCUAGCGUUGUUCGGAAUUACUGGGCGUAAAGCGCACGUAGGCGGAUUGGAAAGUUGGGGGUGAAAUCCCGGGGCUCAACCCCGGAACUGCCUUCAAAACUCCCAGUCUUGAGUUCGAGAGAGGUGAGUGGAAUUCCGAGUGUAGAGGUGAAAUUCGUAGAUAUUCGGAGGAACACCAGUGGCGAAGGCGGCUCACUGGCUCGAUACUGACGCUGAGGUGCGAAAGCGUGGGGAGCAAACAGGAUUAGAAACCCUGGUAGUCC